CUAGUCUUAUCGGUGGAUCACUCGGCUCGUGGAUCGAUGAAGAACGCAGCCAACUGCGAUAAUUAGUGUGAACUGCAGAAACCUUGAACACAGAACCUUCGAAUGCACAUUGCGCCAUUGGAGUGACAUCCAUUGGCACGCCUGGUUCAGGGUCGUAAC
RNAcentral lists this ribosomal RNA (159 nucleotides) under Globodera pallida. RNAcentral's name for it is "5.8S ribosomal RNA". It matches the Rfam family "5.8S ribosomal RNA". Rfam says of the family: 5.8S ribosomal RNA (5.8S rRNA) is a component of the large subunit of the eukaryotic ribosome. It is transcribed by RNA polymerase I as part of the 45S precursor that also contains 18S and 28S rRNA. Functionally, it is thought that 5.8S rRNA may be involved in ribosome translocation. The record is from RNAcentral. Lineage: Eukaryota; Metazoa; Nematoda; Chromadorea; Rhabditida; Heteroderidae.